AAAAUCAUGUUUGUUUUACCUUAGGAAACAACUUGAGUGUCUGGAAGACGAGGCUCUGUGGCGCGUUGUGUAACCGGCCCGGUGAAUCACGUUGCACAGACAAGCCCCGCAGGCUUUUACUGCAAUAAUAAUCUUGAUCUUCUUAUUCAAACACAAGUAACAACCGCAGCCGGCUCCAAGUCACGUGUCCAGGUCACAUGGCGCUCAGAGCAGAGGCCGACGGGCGAUCGUUAGCGACUGCUGACUCCCAGGGAGAAAAUCCUGGCUUUAAAGACACGAACUCAGUUUUUAUAAAACAACGAGGACUGCAAGAGAAGGCACUGGAAGUGAGGGUCCCCAAAAUGCCCAUGGCCAUUCCAAAGCCACCCAAAAGGAGAGAAAAUAUGGCCAAAUGGAAUUCAAGGUGGAAAGCGGCAGUGAUCUGAAGCAACUAAGCAUCUUACCAUUGCAGCGUUUGUAACAGACAGCCCUGCGUAGUGACUCCUAUUAUUACUCCUGCUCUACAGAUGAGAGAUGAAGUCUGAGAGAGAUUGUUUCUUGCCUAUACAUGGAGGGAGUGUUUCAAAGCUGGAGUUCAAAACCAGGUGUGCCUGCCUCCCCUCAGCUCCGCUGGUGCCUUCGUGGCACAAAGCUGACCUUGAACCUUGGGUGAAUCGAAUGCAGCCCAGGCCUUCUGAUCCUUUCUGUACUGGAGCUGACUUUAUUUGCAACCUUAUCUGGUUAUAGCUCCUAGAUCUUUAGUUCUGUUCCUGCAGACCAUGAUCUCAUUGCCUGCUAAAAUCAUUAGGGAUUGCAGCCGACAGGAUUCCCUGACCAGUUUUAAAGUUCCACUCCUCCCCAUUGGAUGGUAAUGAUAUUUCCUGCCUUUCUCUGCCCGUGCCCCCUUGCCCUGACUAAUGCCAUACUUCACUCUGGGCACACCACCCCACUGACUGCCUCUAGAACAGGCCCUAUGCUUUUGCCUCACGCACAGCAGAAAGACUCACCUUGCUGAAUCACUCCCUUAGCUUGUCAGGACAGUAUUUUGAUUCUGGAAAGGCUUAUGAGCGUGCUGUUUGUGGGAGGAAAGGAGGCUGUCAGUUCAGGCAAUCUGCAAAUGUGCUAAUUAGCUGGAUGGAAGAAGCCCGAGUGCAAGCAGCGGCCUCUCCCCUCCCGGAAGAGCUAACCCGUCCAAUACAGUUUCCUGCCUAAUGUCGCCAUGCUCUGCCCUGGGCCGGGCUGUGGACAGAGGCUAAUGAGCGUUACUGAUUUUUUUUGCUUAGAGUUUUUCAACCUCAACGCUACUGACAUUUUGGGCCAGACUGAGAGGUAAGUGAGAGAGCUUCCUGGGCAUCAUAGGGUGUUUAGCAGCCUCCCUGGCUGCUACUCAGCUCCUCUCCCCACUCCCACCUAAGUUGUGAUGAUCAAAAACAGCUUCAGACAUUGCCAGAUGUCCCCUGGGGGUCCAAGUUGCCCCUGAUUGAGAGCCACUGCUUGAGCUCUGUUGACAGACUUUGUCACCAUCGGCAUCCAGUUCUGUAGAUUCUUGAAGCACAGAGGCGGGGGGCGGGGGGAGGUAGUGUGGGUUUUGACAUGCUGAUAGGAGGCCGAUGCAGGAGUGGGAGAGUUGCACACUGCACACAGAGCUAAUCCUCUUGGAUGAGAGUAUUGUGAGGAAAAAGGUAAUAAUACCUGUGAGUAGAGAUGCAUUCUCAUUUCCCCAUGGUCAGAGUGAAUCUGAGACAAGUGGUUGCCUGAAAACUUCAGCUUAUGGUUGAGGGUUCUCUGGUCAGAGAUUGGGUUGGAAUCCCUGCUCCCUAAUUAGUCUUGUGACCUUGGACAAGUUACUUUAUCUAUGCCUCAGUUUCCCUAUUGUAAUAUGUAACAAUAAUAUCUAUAUAGUAGAGGUGUUUUAAGAAUUAUGACCAGUAGUUCAUGCCUAUAAUCCCAGCACUUUGGGAGGCUGAGGUGAGCGGACUGAG
Sapajus apella (tufted capuchin) is the source of this 1961-nucleotide long non-coding RNA. RefSeq lists it as uncharacterized. The record is from RefSeq and is a predicted model, not a curated record. The transcript is spliced from 3 exons. Lineage: Eukaryota; Metazoa; Chordata; Mammalia; Primates; Cebidae.